Molecule: long non-coding RNA, 243 nt
Filed under: Elaeis guineensis (African oil palm)
Lineage: Eukaryota; Viridiplantae; Streptophyta; Magnoliopsida; Arecales; Arecaceae
Description: long non-coding RNA (EGUI_LNC077607)
Source: RNAcentral
CAUCGAAUCAAAUAAUCCUAAGGACUUUAUCAUAUAGCAGGAGUUCAAAAUAAGAUAUACAUAGUGAUAAAAAACUAAAUAAUAUUUAUUAAUUUAAUAAUUUAUAUAUAAUUACAAUAAUAAGCUCAACUGUCAAUAAGCUGAUGAUUGACUUUGGGACAUAAUUUUUGAAAAAAAUAUGCGGUAGUGUAGUACAUGCGAUUUAAAAAUUUUGUGCAGUAAAAAUAAAAGAUUAAAUAAUUU